Molecule: long non-coding RNA, 1202 nt
Filed under: Chinchilla lanigera (long-tailed chinchilla)
Lineage: Eukaryota; Metazoa; Chordata; Mammalia; Rodentia; Chinchillidae
Description: lncRNA (ENSCLAG00000024210.1)
Source: RNAcentral
GUGCCAUCAGCCUGGUCUCAGGUGUCCUCUUUCUUCACCAUCACCACUUACCAUGGGCCCAGGUCCCUAGACCCAAGGAGGUUCAACCUCAAGUGGCGCCGUCGAGCAGGGACCCUGCGCCCCCCCUGGCAGUCGAGACAGCACCCCAUCCAGUGUGGGUUCCCGCUCGAGAUGUCCGACCGGCCACAGCCACCGAUAUCAGAGAUGCAACAACUGACCCUUGGCGACAGCCAAGAGUCCAACCAACCACAGCCACCGAUAUCAGAGAUACAGCAGCCGACCCCAGACAACAGGCAUCCAGGGGGCAGACCAACACGACGUAGAAGACGACACCGAGUUACAGCCCCUCCAGCUUCCCCUGUAACAUGGGAAGCCCUCAAAGAGCUUUGUAACAAUGCCUACAAUGUGCUCCCGCCUGAAGAAAUAAUGCCUGCUCAACUGUUCCUGAUGAUCUUGACCUCAUCAACAAUGAAAUUCAAGACCUCUGACACGUUGCUACCACUGCCUGUGACCAACGCUUUACAGCGACUUUACUUUGCGAUACGACAAAACCAGCCAACCUCUCUUCUGCUCGUCUUUUGCUCCAUGAGUGGAUCCUUGGCCCUUAUAACAGCACCUACUUCAACCUCUCCAUUCAACUGACUGAACAAAUACAAACUAUAAACUCUAUCCAAGUGCCUAUUUUAACGGACAAUGUCCUCUCCGAUCUUCUACAUAACCUACGGCUCCUAUUCUCACCAGCCAAUUUGCUUACCUUUGGAUUCUUUGGACUUUUAGGACUUCUAAUUCUAAUUGCACUUCAUAUAUUAUGUACCCUUUUACAACUAAUAACCUCUAAGCAGGCUAUGAUGGCUUCAAUUCAAUUGGCUUUUACAAAAAAAGAGGGGGAAUUCGUGGGAAAGAGAGGUCCAGAGGUCUGGGUGACAGCUGCGGCAGAAAGGCGAGUCUGAGCAAACUCAGACUCCUCGGCAAACCGAGUAAAAGCCCCACCUAGGCUGUCCCGCUCUGACCUCUUGCUUCCACACAACCCCCGGCGAAAAGUACCCUCUCCAAACUAUGCCCCUGACCCGCCUCCAUUGCCACGCCUGUAGCCAACUCUACAAAUGCCUGCUACAGCCGCAAUAAAGUAGAUAUGUGCCAUCAGCCUGGUCUCAGGUGUCCUCUUUCUUCACUGUCGCCAUUUACACGGGAAAAGGUCCCUA